Molecule: ribosomal RNA, 468 nt
Filed under: uncultured bacterium
Lineage: Bacteria
Description: partial 16S ribosomal RNA
Rfam family: Bacterial small subunit ribosomal RNA
Source: RNAcentral
GACGAACGCUGGCGGCGUGCUUAACACAUGCAAGUCGAACGGAAAGGCCCUGCUUUUGUGGGGUGCUCGAGUGGCGAACGGGUGAGUAACACGUGAGUAACCUGCCCUUGACUUUGGGAUAACUUCAGGAAACUGGGGCUAAUACCGGAUAGGAGCUCCUGCUGCAUGGUGGGGGUUGGAAAGUUUCGGCGGUUGGGGAUGGACUCGCGGCUUAUCAGCUUGUUGGUGGGGUAGUGGCUUACCAAGGCUUUGACGGGUAGCCGGCCUGAGAGGGUGACCGGCCACAUUGGGACGGAGAUACGGCACAGACUCCUACGGGAGGCAGCAGUGGGGAAUAGUGCACAAUGGGCGGAAGCCUGAUGCAGCAACGCAGCGUGCGGGAUGACGGCCUGCGGGUUGUAAACCGAUUUCGCCUGUGACGAAGUGUGAGUGACGGUAAUGGGUAAAGAAGCACCGGCUAACUACGUG